This 261-nucleotide ribosomal RNA is filed under the name uncultured bacterium. RNAcentral's name for it is "partial 16S ribosomal RNA". It matches the Rfam family "Bacterial small subunit ribosomal RNA", at positions 101 to 353 of the family's 1533-position model. The record is from RNAcentral.
AACGGGUGAGUAAUACAUAAGUAACCGUGCCCUAGACAGGGGGAUAACUAUUGGAACGAUAGCUAAGACCGCAUAGGUACGGACACUGCAUGGUGACCGUAUUAAAAGUGCCUCAAAGCACUGGUAGAGGAUGGACUUAUGGCGCAUUAGCUGGUUGGCGGGGUAACGGCCCACCAAGGCGACGAUGCGUAGCCGACCUGAGAGGGUGACCGGCCACACUGGGACUGAGACACGGCCCAGACUCCUACGGGAGGCAGCAUG